AGAACGAACGCUGGCGGCAUGCCUAACACAUGCAAGUCGAACGCUUUUGGGGCUUCGGUCCCAAAGGAGUGGCGCACGGGUGAGUAGCGCGUGGGAACCUGCCCUGUUGUGGGGGAUAACCGAGGGAAACUUCGGCUAAUACCGCAUACGCCCGGGGGAAACUCCGGGGAAAGAUUUAUCGCAGCAGGAGGGGCCCGCGUCGGAUUAGGUAGUUGGUGGGGUAACGGCCCACCAAGCCUGUGAUCCGUAGCUGGUCUGAGAGGAUGAUCAGCCACACUGGGACUGAGACACGGCCCAGACUCCUACGGGAGGCAGCAGUGGGGAAUAUUGGACAAUGGGCGCAAGCCUGAUCCAGCAAUGCCGCGUGAGGGAUGAAGGCCUUCGGGUUGUAAACCUCUUUCGAGCAGGGACGAUAAUGACGGUACCUGCAGAAGAAGCUCCGGCCAACUACGUGCCAGCAGUCGC
This 465-nucleotide ribosomal RNA is filed under the name uncultured bacterium. RNAcentral describes it as "SSU rRNA". It matches the Rfam family "Bacterial small subunit ribosomal RNA", at positions 26 to 518 of the family's 1533-position model. The record is from RNAcentral.